CUACGGGGGGCUGCAGUGGGGAAUAUUGGACAAUGGGGGAAACCCUGAUCCAGCAAUGCCGCGUGUGUGAAGAAGGCCUGCGGGUCGUAAAGCACUUUCGGUUGGGAGGACUGCUUCUAGCACUAAUAUUGUUGGAAGUUGACGUUACCUUCAGAAGAAGCACCGGCUAACUCCGUGCCAGCAGCCGCGGUAAUACGGAGGGUGGCAAGCGUUAAUCGGAAUUACUGGGCGUAAAGCGCGCGUAGGCGGCUAGAUCAGUCGGGUGUGAAAGCCCCGGGCUUAACCUGGGAACUGCAUCCGAUACUGUCUAGCUUGAGUACAGGAGAGGAGAGUGGAAUUCCACAUGUAGCGGUGAAAUGCGUAGAUAUGUGGAGGAACACCAAUGGCGAAGGCAGCUCUCUGGCCUGAUACUGACGCUGAGGUGCGAAAGCGUGGGGAGCAAACAGGAUUAGAUACCCUUGUAGUC
RNAcentral lists this ribosomal RNA (466 nucleotides) under uncultured bacterium. RNAcentral's name for it is "partial 16S ribosomal RNA". It matches the Rfam family "Bacterial small subunit ribosomal RNA", at positions 339 to 795 of the family's 1533-position model. The record is from RNAcentral.